RNAcentral lists this ribosomal RNA (1575 nucleotides) under Citrobacter amalonaticus. RNAcentral's name for it is "partial 23S ribosomal RNA". It matches the Rfam family "Bacterial large subunit ribosomal RNA", at positions 609 to 2166 of the family's 2925-position model. The record is from RNAcentral. Lineage: Bacteria; Pseudomonadati; Pseudomonadota; Gammaproteobacteria; Enterobacterales; Enterobacteriaceae.
UGUAUAAUGGGUCAGCGACUUAUAUUCUGUAGCAAGGUUAACCGAAUAGGGGAGCCGAAGGGAAACCGAGUCUUAACUGGGCGUUAAGUUGCAGGGUAUAGACCCGAAACCCGGUGAUCUAGCCAUGGGCAGGUUGAAGGUUGGGUAACACUAACUGGAGGACCGAACCGACUAAUGUUGAAAAAUUAGCGGAUGACUUGUGGCUGGGGGUGAAAGGCCAAUCAAACCGGGAGAUAGCUGGUUCUCCCCGAAAGCUAUUUAGGUAGCGCCUCGUGAAUUCAUCUCCGGGGGUAGAGCACUGUUUCGGCUAGGGGGCCAUCCCGGCUUACCAACCCGAUGCAAACUGCGAAUACCGGAGAAUGUUAUCACGGGAGACACACGGCGGGUGCUAACGUCCGUCGUGAAGAGGGAAACAACCCAGACCGCCAGCUAAGGUCCCAAAGUCAUGGUUAAGUGGGAAACGAUGUGGGAAGGCUCAGACAGCCAGGAUGUUGGCUUAGAAGCAGCCAUCAUUUAAAGAAAGCGUAAUAGCUCACUGGUCGAGUCGGCCUGCGCGGAAGAUGUAACGGGGCUAAACCAUGCACCGAAGCUGCGGCAGCGACACUAAGUGUUGUUGGGUAGGGGAGCGUUCUGUAAGCCUGUGAAGGUGUGCUGUGAGGCAUGCUGGAGGUAUCAGAAGUGCGAAUGCUGACAUAAGUAACGAUAAAGCGGGUGAAAAGCCCGCUCGCCGGAAGACCAAGGGUUCCUGUCCAACGUUAAUCGGGGCAGGGUGAGUCGACCCCUAAGGCGAGGCCGAAAGGCGUAGUCGAUGGGAAACAGGUUAAUAUUCCUGUACCAGGUGUUACUGCGAAGGGGGGACGGAGAAGGCUAUGUUGGCCGGGCGACGGUUGUCCCGGUUUAAGCGUGUAGGUGUGUGUUCCAGGUAAAUCCGGUUCACUUUAACACUGAGGCGUGAUGACGAGGCACUACGGUGCUGAAGUGACAAAUGCCCUGCUUCCAGGAAAAGCCUCUAAGCAUCAGGUAACAUCAGAUCGUACCCCAAACCGACACAGGUGGUCAGGUAGAGAAUACCAAGGCGCUUGAGAGAACUCGGGUGAAGGAACUAGGCAAAAUGGUGCCGUAACUUCGGGAGAAGGCACGCUGAUAUGUAGGUGAAGCGAUUUACUCGUGGAGCUGAAAUCAGUCGAAGAUACCAGCUGGCUGCAACUGUUUAUUAAAAACACAGCACUGUGCAAACACGAAAGUGGACGUAUACGGUGUGACGCCUGCCCGGUGCCGGAAGGUUAAUUGAUGGGGUUAUCCGUAAGGAGAAGCUCUUGAUCGAAGCCCCGGUAAACGGCGGCCGUAACUAUAACGGUCCUAAGGUAGCGAAAUUCCUUGUCGGGUAAGUUCCGACCUGCACGAAUGGCGUAAUGAUGGCCAGGCUGUCUCCACCCGAGACUCAGUGAAAUUGAACUCGCUGUGAAGAUGCAGUGUACCCGCGGCAAGACGGAAAGACCCCGUGAACCUUUACUAUAGCUUGACACUGAACACUGGUCCUUGAUGUGUAGGAUAGGUGGGAGGCUUUGAAGCGCG